RNAcentral lists this ribosomal RNA (493 nucleotides) under uncultured Rhodoferax sp. Its description in RNAcentral is "bacterial SSU rRNA". It matches the Rfam family "Bacterial small subunit ribosomal RNA", at positions 8 to 495 of the family's 1533-position model. Lineage: Bacteria; Pseudomonadati; Pseudomonadota; Betaproteobacteria; Burkholderiales; Comamonadaceae. The record is from RNAcentral.
AGAGUUUGAUCCUGGCUCAGAUUGAACGCUGGCGGCAUGCCUUACACAUGCAAGUCGAACGGCAGCACGGGAGCAAUCCUGGUGGCGAGUGGCGAACGGGUGAGUAAUAUAUCGGAACGUGCCCAGUCGUGGGGGAUAACGUAGCGAAAGCUACGCUAAUACCGCAUACGAUCUACGGAUGAAAGCGGGGGACUCGUAAGGGCCUCGCGCGAUUGGAGCGGCCGAUAUCAGAUUAGGUUGUUGGUGAGGUAAAAGCUCACCAAGCCUGCGAUCUGUAGCUGGUCUGAGAGGACGACCAGCCACACUGGAACUGAGACACGGUCCAGACUCCUACGGGAGGCAGCAGUGGGGAAUUUUGGACAAUGGACGCAAGUCUGAUCCAGCAAUGCCGCGUGCAGGACGAAGGCCUUCGGGUUGUAAACUGCUUUUGUACGGAACGAAACGGUCUGCUUUAAUACAGCGGGCUAAUGACGGUACCGUAAGAAUAGCCCGG